This is a long non-coding RNA of Topomyia yanbarensis, 2317 nucleotides long. RefSeq lists it as uncharacterized. The record is from RefSeq and is a predicted model, not a curated record. The transcript has 4 exons. NCBI's taxonomy places the organism in Eukaryota, Metazoa, Arthropoda, Insecta, Diptera, Culicidae.
UCGGACAUUGAUAGUCCGUGCUGAUGAGCUAUCGAAAAUUGAUGCGUGAAAAAAAAGUUGAAACCAGACUGAUGCUGAGUGAAAUCUCUUUCAGGGACAAACUGUGAAAUGUGCCAAAACCACAAAAAGCUUGGGUGCGUAUGCCAAGAGCCAAUCUACUGGUGGAAUGUUUGGCAUCAGGCUUUGUGGUUUUGGUAAAAUACCAGCGACGUGCUUCACCAGAAAAGAGUAUAUAAGCCUGGUCGAGAAAACGAUCAUUUGGAAUUCGUUCUGCUGCUACCAGUUCGUUAACUUGAAACACAAAGUCAGCAACAUCCAUCCCUUGAGGAUCACCGCUGAAUUGAAUUCCCCAUCUAUCUAACCGGUAGUGUUGGAACCGCUCUUCCCUUCGACGAUUCUGAGGGGACCUUACCGAUUGAUUCUCAGACUGCGCGUCAGAGCUGGAUUCUGUAGACAAUAUGCUACUUAAGGAAUCCAUAGACGAACUACUUUUCGACGAGGAACUAAAAAUCGGCACUCAACGAAAAAUGCAGCAAUAUGGUGUAAUAACCGCUUCUUAAGCAGAAAAUUCAAAUAUAAAAAUAUAAUCAAAAUUCAAAAUUGUUUUCCCAUAAAUCCCUUCACCAAAAUAUCCCAGAAACUCAAAAUACUAGAUACUUAAAAUUCAAAGAAAAAAAAUCAAUAAUCUAAAGUGCUCGAAUCCAAUCUAACCCACUAAAUUAAACCUAAUAAUCCUAUUAAUCUACAUUACCAAAAAAAAACAAAUCGGAGAAAAACAAAUAUCAACCAAAAAUUUAAAAAUUCAAUUUUGAACAGGGCAAGGUUUCUUUAAAGUUGGGCGCCAAUGUAAGGGGGAUUCUGGUAGGGCCUCUAAAUACCCGGCUUAUGCGCCAGACGACGAAGUCGUCUGCCGGGAUUACAAAUCAGUUAGCCCUGGCUAGCUUUAAUUCCUAACCCUACCGCAGAAUCCGCCUCCAGUUCAUCUCCCACUCCAAAGCUCCCAAUACCUAUUCCUACCAGUCUUUACGAAUAUUCCCAAAACUUUCCAAAAUAAUGAAAUUCAAAUUAUCUUGCUUUAAAACAGUCUACAGAAACUUUUUAUUUAAACCCUUUUAUUUUUAAUUGCAAAUUUCGUCGACUUUAAUAUCGUUUCAGAGUUUAUUUUCCUGUUUCUCUCCUAUCGCUAUCCUACCUUCGUGACGUCAUCUAACCUUGGUUUCUUAAUUUCUCCCGAACUGUGCGGGGCCUAAUCUCUCUCUCACUUCUACCCUACUUUACAAUUUCCAAUUCCCUACUCUUAACGCGCACUAUGAAAGUUCGUAUGUAUGGUUGUGGUUGGUCGUACUUACAGGCACUGGAACGGUUACCUGGUUCGCACUCGAGUGGUGAAUAUGCCAAUGGUUUCGGCUCACCGUCGGGUGCUGAUGGAUUCGCUGCCCACCGGCGAUGCUGGUUCGUUGCUACGAUGUGCGACGAGGCGUUCGUUGUAGGCCACCCGGUGGGUGGGUGGUAAAUUGCACCGUAUCGAUGCUCGACGGACGAUGCUGUGUUCACUGUGGGCCACCAGUGGGUGGUGGCAAAGCGUGCUGCUUCGGUUCGCCCACGGACGAUUUGUACGGCGGUCGAUGCGGGCCACCAAUGGAUAGUGGCGAAGCGUACUGCUUUGGUUUCACUGUUGCUGAUGCUGCGGUUGGAUGCUUUCGAGCAGUGCGAAGCGGAACUGAUGCUGUUCGCUGCGGCGGGAACGGCGUUUGACAGCCGGUGCACUGCGGGCGGUGAUGGCGUGCACCAAGGAUUGCACACGUGGUCGCACGACGAGGACGCGGUACAGGGUCGCUUCUGGGCUGUUAGCUGCGUGAGUAGCAGGCGAAUCUCUCUGGCGUUGGGGAAAAUCUUUCCCUUUGAACACGACUCGCUUUCGUGGCAACCGGUAAUGGCGGGUGGUGCCGCGAGGCCGAGAUUUUUAUUGCAGCCAACGCACUCCAGAUGUGCCAAUAGUAGCACGCAGCCACGAGGCGAUUGUCACAUCCGGGGGAUUGCCAAGAAUACCCGAGGUCACUGCACUCACCAGAAAUAGCAGAAUUAGUCCGUCGCCGCCCUGCUGGGUGAAAUUGCGUUGCACUCCUGUACUUAGUAGGUCCUUAUACCAGCGAAUAAACAAUCGGAAAACCCAACGAUGUUGACCACCAACGUGGCCGCUGUGGAACAACCAAAAUUUUAGAAUACGAACUUUCAAAUAUUUUCUCCCACUUUACCUGAGUAUUCUCGAUUCCUAAACACUUUAUUUUUUUUAUUCUUCUUUAUUUUCAACUCAUUC